RNAcentral lists this ribosomal RNA (457 nucleotides) under uncultured bacterium. Its description in RNAcentral is "bacterial SSU rRNA". It matches the Rfam family "Bacterial small subunit ribosomal RNA", at positions 8 to 507 of the family's 1533-position model. The record is from RNAcentral.
AGAGUUUGAUCAUGGCUCAGGAUAAACGCUGGCGGCGUGCCUAACACAUGCAAGUCGAACGAUCCCGCAAGGGAGAGUGGCGGAAGGGUGAGUAACACGUGGGAAUCUACCUCCUCGCAGGGAACAACCUCUCGAAAGAGAGGCUAAUACCCAAAAGGGUCAGAAAUGAUCAGAGUCGAAAGGCGUGAGGAGAGGAGCCCGCGGCCCAUCAGCUAGUUGGUGAGGUAAUGGCUUACCAAGGCUACGACGGGUAGGGGAUCUGAGAGGAUGUCCCCCACACUGGAACUGAAACACGGUCCAGACGCCUACGGGUGGCAGCAGUGAGGAAUAUUGGACAAUGGGCGAAAGCCCGGUCCAGCAACGCCGCGUGGAGGAUGAAGGCCUUCGGGUCGUAAACUUCUUUAGAGGGAGACGAGAAAGGACGGUAUCCCUAGAAUAAGCGACGGCAAACUACGUG